GACGAACGCUGGCGGCGUGCCUAAUACAUGCAAGUCGAGCGGACUUUCAAGAAGCUUGCUUUUUGAAAGUUAGCGGCGGACGGGUGAGUAACACGUGGGCAACCUGCCUGCAAGACGGGGAUAACUCCGGGAAACCGGGGCUAAUACCGGAUAAUAUCUUCCUUCGCAUGAAGGAAGGUUGAAAGGCGGCGCAAGUUGCCGCUUGCAGAUGGGCCCGCGGCGCAUUAGCUAGUUGGUGAGGUAACGGCUCACCAAGGCGACGAUGCGUAGCCGACCUGAGAGGGUGAUCGGCCACACUGGGACUGAGACACGGCCCAGACUCCUACGGGAGGCAGCAGUAGGGAAUCUUCCGCAAUGGACGAAAGUCUGACGGAGCAACGCCGCGUGAGCGAAGAAGGGCUUCGGAUCGUAAAGCUCUGUUGUCAGGGAAGAACAAGUACCGUUCGAACAGGGCGGUACCUUGACGGUACCUGACCAGAAAGCCACGGCUAACUACGUG
Molecule: ribosomal RNA, 499 nt
Filed under: uncultured bacterium
Lineage: Bacteria
Description: partial 16S ribosomal RNA
Rfam family: Bacterial small subunit ribosomal RNA
Source: RNAcentral